This 54-nucleotide ribosomal RNA is filed under the name Clostridiales bacterium. Its description in RNAcentral is "partial 23S ribosomal RNA". The record is from RNAcentral. Lineage: Bacteria; Bacillati; Bacillota; Clostridia; Eubacteriales.
CGCAGCAAUGUGUUCAGCUGACCGAUACUAAUAGACCGAGGGCUUGAACCUUCA